Molecule: long non-coding RNA, 4174 nt
Filed under: Homo sapiens (human)
Lineage: Eukaryota; Metazoa; Chordata; Mammalia; Primates; Hominidae
Description: HSALNT0325332
Source: RNAcentral
UUCUAAUUAAGGUAUGUACAUUGUUUACUUAGAUGUAAUGCUACUGUACACUUAAUUUAUAGUAUAUUGUAAACAUAACUUCUAUAUGCACUGAGAAACCAGAAAUUUAUGUGACUCACUUUGUGGAUAUAUUCACUUUAUUAUAGUGGUAUGGAAUUAAGACUACAGUAUCUCAGAGGUGUGCCUGUAUUUACAUAUGUGUGGACAGAGUAAGGCACUAUGGUUUGAAUACUUGUGUCCCCUCUGAAAUCCAUGUUGAAACUUCAUCCCCAAUGCAACACUAUUAAGAAGUGUGGCCUUUGAGAGGUGAUUUGGUCAUGAAGGCUCUGCCCUCAUUAGUGCUCUUAUAAAAGGGCUAGAGAGAACUAGCUCAGCCCCCUUUUCACUUCCACCCUUCUGCCAUGUCAGGACACAACACUUGUUUCCUCUGGAGGAACCAGCAGCAAGGUGCCAUCUUGGAAGCAGUGAACAGGCUUUCAGCAGACACCAAACCCACUAGUGCCCUGGUCUUGGACUUCCACCCUCUAGAACUCCCAGGGUAACCAGCAGCUGAAAUCACAAGAACUUAUCUACCAGCCCACAACAUAAUUUACUUCAUUAGAAAGUUUUCCACAAGCUGGCAUUGGAAACUUGGGCUUUAGAAGUGAAAGAAAUCAAUUUAUCCCCUGCUCUGAGCCAUCCUGCCUUACGUGGCUGAUUUCUAAACCACCACACAGGCCUUGUUACAUUCUCCCUGCCGAGCAUCCUUCCAACUUGUGUAUAAUAAGGAGAUGAAGUUGAAAGAAGACGUCAAUGAACAUAGUAGUUUUUUUAAUCUAAAAAAUACAAACAGGCUUUAAAAGACCAUAUGUAAGUCUUCUUUAGUUUCCAAACCACAAUAGAUGUACUAGGCAUGAUUAUUCUAAGGUCCCUGCAAUAAAUGAAAUCCGAGGUAGUUCCAACAAAUGAUGAAUUCAUGGUGGAAAAAUAAUUUCACUCAUUUGCUGUCUUAUCAUAGGUUUUGUUUUCUCUCCAAAAAAUACAUAGUUGGGGUGAGGGGGCAAUACAGAAAAAAAAGAAACGGGGGAUGAUUGCAUUGUUUACAAAGCAAAAAGGAAAUUAUUUGGUUCUGUGAAUGCAAAAUGUUUUGACAGUAUUUCCGAUUUUGCAGGACAUCUGGUGUAGAUGAUAUCGAGGGCAUUAGAAGUAAAUAGCUAAAUUCUGUUAUUAGUUCUGUUACUAUUCUACCAUAUGGAAAUAUUUUUAUUUUUCCCCUCAGUUUAAUUCAUUGUUGACUUGGGAGAGAAAAAAUCCAAUUAAAAAUGACAUGUGAACUGCUUGUCACCCAACUCUUGGUUGCCUAACAUUGUGGCCUAUUUUUUGUAUAGAGACCCAGUUCUUGAAUUAGCCUCUAUAAAUAUGUUUCCAUGUAUUGGCUUGAAUUUUGUAUAGAAAUCAGAGUUGUAAAAAAUUAAAGGUCUGGAAGACUCAGUCUUGUUAAAAUGUCAAUUCACUCCAAAUUAAUUUAUGUAUAGGUUCAGUGCAAACCUAAUAAAAAUCUUAGUAAGUUGUUUUGUGGAUAAUGACAAGCUGAUUCUAAAACUCAUAUUUAAAAGCAAAGAAACCUCAAUAGCCAAAGCAAUUUUGAUAAAAUAACAAAGAUAGAACCCUCACACUACAUAAUUUCAAGACUUACUGUGAAGCCACGUUAAUCAAGACAGCAUGGUGUUGGUGAACGCAUGAAUCAAACUGAUGGGGUCUAGACUCAAUGACUUCCCAAUAAUAAUGAACAAACCUACAGCCCAGAUAUCUGUUUCUAAAUGCCAUUUUACAGUAGAAGAAACCAGACCUCCUUGUAGAAUUAGUUGAAUCCCAGGACGGGACAGGGAAAACUUAAGAUAAGCCUAGAGCAUCUAGUGGUGCCAGAAAGUAAGGAAGUGCUCAAAAAAGAAUGGGGGCAUGUCCAAAGCUCACAGGAGCCAACAUGAAAGAGCUCCCAAUGUCCCAAGUCUGAGCAAGUUAAUGAUAGAUUAUUUUUAUCAAGAGAAUACAAUAAGCAUCCAUGAGUCUAUGACAUAAAGAAAUGAAUGAAUGAAUGAAUGGGAGAUAACAGCUCUCCCAAUGAAUAAAUGUAGAAAGAAGAUGGAAAUAUGAAUUCACCAAUAGAAUGCCACAGUAAUAAUUGUUGCAGGCAAGAUGUACCAACGAAAGCCAAAAUUCGUGGGUAAAACUUUGAGGAUAAAGAUUAUAUGUGCCUAGUGCAAAAUUAUCUCCUUCAAGAUACCCAUUAAUUGCUAAAGGAAAAAUAGUAAUUUUAAAAAUGGAAACACCUGGCAGAUGCCAUCUCAGCCAAGUGAUCAAGAUUAACAUCACCAGUAAAAAGACAUACUGACAUCCCAUACUUCCUGAUUUGAUACACUAAGAAGGGCUUAUCGUUUCUGUGGUACUCUUGGCCAACAAUGCGCAAGUAACAUUUAUUCAUUGAAACACAUUAGGCAGAACCAAAUUGCAGGACAUUCCUCAAAAUAGCUGUGCAAUACUCUUCAAAAGUGUCAGAUCCUGGAAGACAAAGAGAUACUGAGGAACCAUCACAGAGUGGGAGAGGACAUGGAGACAUAAAAACUAACUGUAAUGUGGAAUCCUACAUUGGAUCAUGGACCAGAAAGAGAACACUGAUGGGAAGACUGAUGAAAUCUGACCCUGGACAGAAGUGAACACCAAAUAUAGGAAAAGAGAGUAAACUCCAGGUGUGUGCACAGCCAUCAGUCACGAUUGAAGCACAGAAAUGAAACGUAAUUAGAAACUCUUGGAUGGAAGAGAGUUAUAAAAUACAGCUAUGAGAUAAAAAGUAAAAAUUAGAAGGUCAGUGGGUUUUCAAAACAAAUAUAGUAGAUUCUAAGUGACAUUUUAUAUAACAAAUAACUCAGUGGAAUGGUAGAACAUUAUUUGGAAUAUGCUGGGGAUUGCAUAUAUCUUGCACUUCACAAAAAAUAAAAAAGACAACCAGAAUGCCAGAGAAUAAUUUUUUUAAAACCCACCAAAAUGUAUACAAGAAAGGAAUGAACCAAAUAUAAAGUAGAUCAAAACAUUACAUUAUUUUGAUCAAUUGUGAAGAAUAAAAAUCAGAAUCUGUUUUGGCAUUCUUCUUUCAUUGGCCAGUAAAUUGUGGCUUUAAAACUACAAAACUAAGGUCAGGCGCGGUGACAUGCUAUUGAGUCCCAGCUACUCAGGAGACUGAGGUGAGAGAAUUGCUUGAAGCCAGGGAUUUUAAUCCAUCCUGGGCAACACAGCAAGAUUCUGGCUCUACUAAAACUAAAACAACUAUACUACUACUACUUGAUGAUUCAGUAAAUAAUAUUUAACGUAGUCAAGUAAUAUAAAUACUGAUUUUCAAUUUUUGGGAACAAGGGUGAAUCAAUCAUGAAAUGCUUACUAAUGAAAACAAAACAAAAUGUAAACCUGAUUAAUCUUGACCAUGUAAAAGUACAGCUGAGAGCAGGUGGCCCAGACAGUUAUGCUGUUCACAGACUUGAAGUUGAAGGGUACUGGGCUAGUCUCCUUGGGCAGAAGACCAGUUUGACGAGAGCUUUAAAAUGUCUGUAGUGUCUGAGUUAGGAAUCCUCUUUUAGGAAUGGAUAACUGGAUGUUCAAAAGUUUACGCAUGGGAACCUGAGGAUGGUCAUCACAGCAUUAUUUGCAUUAGUAAGAAAAAAGGUAACAAUGUCAAUGUGCAAACAAUAGAAAAUGCUUAAAUGAAUUGACAUAUCUGUACAAUAAUAUAUAACAUUAAAAUGGUAAAUUUUAAUGAUUUGGGAAAUAUUUGUAAUACAAUAUUGCUCAAAUAAAUUAGCUGAAUGGGACUCUAUUUCCAUGUCAUAGACUGGGUGGCUUAAACAACAGAGAUUUACUUCCCAUAAUCCUAGAGACUGGAAAGGCCAAAAUGAAAGUGCUUUCAGAUUCGGUUUCUGGUGAGGGCUCUCUCCCUGGCUUGUAGACAGCACUGUGUGCUCACAUGGCAGAGGCCAACUGAGUGAGCUCUGCCUUCUCUUCCUUUUCUAAUAAGGACAAUAAUCCCAUCAUGGGGCCCUACCUUAUGACUUUAUCUAAACCUAAUCACUUCCCUAGGAACCCAGCUCCAAAUACCAUCACAUUGGGGGUUACAGUUUCAACAUAUAAAUUUUGGGGGGGCACAAAC